AUCUGCCAACAAUACUACGGAGUUACUGAUACAGAGAUACUACUCCGUAGGUUACUUGCGCAUACGAUACAUCAUCAGCUCAAGCAAGUAAGUUAGUCUAGUCUAACCCGGACUGGUAACGAACGAAAAAAAUAUCACCGAACACAGCCUGUGGGGGCCCAGCCUACCUAUGCUUCCACUGGGAUGGGCUGUCGUGGGUGAUAAAUCAGCAGGAUGUUGGUCGGUGUCUCAGGAAAGGGCCGAGCGUCCGUGAUCGUUAACUGCGUAGCCAAAGAGCUGUGUGUGUGCAAGCCACAGCUUCUACUAUGUAACUAACUCCACGGUCAGAUCAUAAGCAAGCGAGAGGAGCUUCCCUGGCCCUGAAAUCUUAAUGAGCAAGUUCUGCAAGCGGGCGGCAGGCCGCAGAAUUGCUAAAAUCCGUCUCUCUUUUGAAUCGCAGCAAAUAAUGAACAAAAGGAAAAGAGAAGAGAAGGGAAAAAAUACAAAUUCCUGCUGAAUCAUUGGUGAUGAUACUGAUGAUGUGAACGGUGGGCCACUCGAAGUAUUGAGAGAGAAAGAUAAAAAGCCAACAUACGCAGCGUAUACUUCAUUGCCUCAUUCUUUCUUUCUUGCUUGCUUUCUACUGAGCGUACUGCGUAAACAUAACUUCCCUAAUAUCAUUUUACAGUCCUUCCACAGCAUUUCUUUUACCUGUGCGUAAAUUAAUUGAUACAAGAAAACCUCUGCCUCUCCUACCCAUACACCCCUUUCCAACCCACAGUUUCGGAUUUGAUUUAUUUAUUUAUGCCUCUUUCCUUCAUGCUUCUUCAUUUUUAAACCCACCAAAGAAAAAAAAAAAAAAAUCGUUGAAGGAUAAUACCAACAAUACAACAAUACAAAGACGAAACCCGCGCCGCCAGCUCCCUGAUCCACACAACCCCUUCAUAAGUGGAGUAACCCAAAGUCCAAGUGCAGGUACUCGGAUUGAAACAUUCGUGAUUUUCCCCGUUGAAAAUGCGUCUUAGUCUUUCGGACUUUGCUAUGCCAUAUAUGCAUGAAUUGGGACAGAAAAGCCGCAACUAAGAAGUGAAGUUUAUGUGCUGAGUUUGUUCAAUUCACUAUGGAUCCUGCCGUAGAAGCUGUUGCGUGGAUCAUUGGUUGUUUUGAGACUCGCUCCUGCUGCUUGCACAGUACAUCCGGGAUGAUAUGUAAAAAUGAUAAAAAAAAGGGAAAAGCGGACAUAUCUUAUAUCGAGAUAUGAGGAUAAAACCGAACGACCAGGGUGCAAUCCACGAAACUUCUCUCUUUUUUUUUUUUUUUUUUAUAGCAAGGCUUCAAACACGGUGUGCAAAACAAACCUUUAUUUUGCACCUACCUCCACAUGCCCUC
This 1368-nucleotide small RNA is filed under the name Histoplasma capsulatum. Its description in RNAcentral is "hypothetical RNA". Lineage: Eukaryota; Fungi; Ascomycota; Eurotiomycetes; Onygenales; Ajellomycetaceae. RNAcentral also lists the same sequence under 1 other name. The record is from RNAcentral.